This 1194-nucleotide ribosomal RNA is filed under the name Triticum aestivum (bread wheat). RNAcentral describes it as "partial small subunit ribosomal RNA". Lineage: Eukaryota; Viridiplantae; Streptophyta; Magnoliopsida; Poales; Poaceae. The record is from RNAcentral.
AUGGAGGAGGCAGAGAAGGGGGAGAUCUUCGAGAGGAACACCGUGUCGACAUUGGACAGGCAUCCGGAUCCGGGGCCAACGGCUGGCCUGCUCACCGACGACCUCAUCCUGGAGAUCCUCUCCCGCCUCCCCGCCAGAUCCCUCCACCGCGUCAAGUGCGUUUCCGUGUCCUGGCGCGACCUCAUCAUCGAUCCUGCCAACCGCAACAAGCUGCCACAGACCCUAGCUGGCUUUCUCUACAUGACCGUCAACAGCAGCGGGUGCCGCCACCACUUCGCCAGCAUAUCCGGCGACGGCGCAGCCCCGUUCGAUCCUUCCCUGCAGCCUAACAAGUACAUGGACAUGGUCCAGGUGGACGCCUGCAACGGCCUCCUCCUCUACUGCGGCUGCAACGAGAAGUUGUCCCCUUUCAAUUGGGCAGAGGAUGAUUUCCGUUUUGUCGUGUGCAAUCCUCUCACUGGGAGGUGGGUGGAACUGCCUCCUACGCUCCAGGCGCCAGAAAAUAACAGAUAUAGUUGUACCGCAGGCCUGGCUUUUGAUCCGGCGGCCCAUUUCAAUGUUCUUCACUUCGAGCAGGCCUUUCACAAAGCUUACGUCACAGGAGUGAACAUCUACUCGUCAUGGGCAAGAGCCUGGACUCGCAGGGAUAGUGGGAUGGUUGAGAAAGUGGCGCCGUUCUUCCGUGGUAAAUGUGUCUUUGUUAGCCGUAUAAUGUAUGUGAUGGGCAGCCUGAUGGACAUGAACAACGAGUACGUGCUCAUGGGGGUGGACAUGGAGGGGAAAGUGUGGAAGACUAUCCGUGUGCCGUAUGGCCAAAGAUUUGCUACGAUUGGAGUGUCACAGGGGUGCUUACACUAUGCUGCAGCUUCUGUUGUUGAUAACGAUAAAAGGACGGUUUCCCAGAUAGCGCUCUGGUGCCUCAAGGGUCGUGACAGUAAAGAAUUAGUCCUGAAGCAUACCGCCAACAUCAAUAAACUUAUGAGCAUGACUGGAAAAAAGUACAUGGUGGAUGCGGUUCAUCCAGAUUGCGACACAAUUUUUUUGAUUUCAUAUGGAGGUGACACCUUAGCGGCAUAUGAUAUGCGACAUCAGAAAGUUGGUUGUAUCCUUAAUCUUGAGAAAAGCAAUACAUGCCGAUUUCUACCCUAUGUUCCUUUGUUCUCAAAGUCAUUAGCAGAUGCAGAUGAGCAGUAG